AGUCGAGUCAGUGAUAGCUCUGAGAUUCGAUUCGUUCAUUAACGAGGUCACGAGCUCUACGAACAACUGCUACGGUAUAAUCUAACCACAGACUUGAAGCGGCUCAGUGAAUCCGUGCCGAGUCGCGAUGGCGACUGUAGAAGAAGAGGGUGUGGACAUUUUCCCCGAAGACAUGGCGCACUGCUUGAACAUUUAUCCUCCGAGCGUCACUGACUCGACUCAACUACGGCUAUUGCGGGAACGGAAUGAAAUCCGUCAGCGCUUCGGAAUUUGGCUGAACCUCCUACAGACAAACCCCGCAUCGUGACAUCCACGACAACGGUAAAUAUACGUUACGUACGUUUCGCCAUGUGUUUCUCGGAGCACUCGGGCGCGGUAUCUUCUGUUUGGGCUCGCUGUAUAGUUCUCGAUCACGAAGAGUUUUGCCUUAUUGGGAAAAAAUUGAAUUUGAAGAAUCCUCAAUUUGAAAACGUGGGGCUUAUUACCGGUCCCUCGACUGGUGGUAAAUAGAGGUAAGUAAGGAUGUACAAGGCACAGGUCAAGCGAACGGUAAAAGAUUGAUUAUUUUUUAAAUGAAGUGUAGACAUAGUCGGGAAACAGAAGAUAAUAUAUCACUAAACCGCGCCAAGAGUUAACGUCAGCACGAUUUAUAUUUUCGUUGUUCUCUUCUCUCAAAGUGAUGAUUAUAUUUGUAAUACUAUACUAUCUAAAUAUUAAUUAAUUUUCUUUUCGAAUAAUCUUAGAACUGUCCUUUUCCUAAUUUACAUUUUAAUAGAUUGUUUUUUAAAAUUGAGUGAAAUUAUUCAUGCCAUGGCGAUUAAACGUUUGCAACAUAUUUCAGUAGAGCAUUCAAAUUGCAAGUUGCAACCACACUAAACAUAUGUAACUUCGACCGACAUAGACACGCAUUUAUGAAAAUAGUAGUAAUUUUACAUGUUUAUACUAUGUACAUCUCCCUGUGUGUAUUUCGAAGGCAUUUAUCUUAAUAUUACGAGAACGGUUAACAGCGGCACGC
This is a long non-coding RNA of Nymphalis io (European peacock), 1015 nucleotides long. RefSeq lists it as uncharacterized. The record is from RefSeq and is a predicted model, not a curated record. NCBI's taxonomy places the organism in Eukaryota, Metazoa, Arthropoda, Insecta, Lepidoptera, Nymphalidae. The transcript is spliced from 3 exons.